This 458-nucleotide ribosomal RNA is filed under the name uncultured microorganism. RNAcentral describes it as "bacterial SSU rRNA". It matches the Rfam family "Archaeal small subunit ribosomal RNA", at positions 330 to 745 of the family's 1478-position model. The record is from RNAcentral.
GUGCACCAGUCGAGAAACUUCACACUGUGCGAAGCACGAUGAGGGAAUCCCAAGUGCUUGCACGUAAGUGUAAGCUGUUCUCUGUUUAAACGCAGAGAGAGUAAGGGCUGGGUAAGACGGGUGCCAGCCGCCGCGGUAAUACCCGCAGCCCGAGUGGUGGCCGCUAUUAUUGGGCCUAAAGCGUCCGUAGCCGGCUCGGUAAAUGCCUGGGUAAAUCGUCUGGCCCAACCAGACGAAUUCCGGGUAGACUGCCGGGGCUAGGGGACCGGAGGAGGGAGGGGGUACGUCCAGGGGUAGGGGUGGAAAUCAGCAAGGUGAGUUGCUGAUGUAACUUGCCUUGCAAGUCACAAUCCUGUAAUCCCUGGAGGACCACCGGUGGCGAAGGCGCUCUCCUAGGACGGGUCCGACGGUGAGGGACGAAAGCCAGGGGAGCAAACCGGAUUAGAUACCCGCGUAGU